AUGCCGAUUUGGUCCUAGUCCCAACUCUAGCUUUUUCAAAACUGCCACAUGCAAGCUAACUAGCAACCCAGUGAAGUUAAUUAUUUUCCAAACUAACCUUAAAAGAUAAGAAAAGGAAAACACACUGAUAUCAGGGUAAACAAACAACCCAAAAACAUCAAGCAUCAUUGUCACAUCUGCAGUGCUAAAUAUUAGACAAUCAGAACAAUCUGGAUCUAGUAAAGAAUACUAAGGAGGUAAAAUACGUGCCAGCUACCGCGGUUAUACGUAUCCCCUAUAGCUAAAGUCCCCAACGGUCAAAAGGAUGGUUAAAGAAUUCUACCUUGCCUGCAGCUCUAAGAUAGUGGUGGAAAACUUACCUUAGAAGAAACAUUCACAAGACAACAUAGAUACUUGAAUCCAUGAACACUAAGAUCUAAACCAGGAUUAGAUACCCUGUUAUACUCAGAAGUAAACAACCUUAAACACCAGAGAACUACGAACUAAAAAUUUAAAACUCAAAGGACUUGGCGGUUUUCCAAAUCUCCCUGGAGGAGCUUGCCAUUGAAUCGAUAAUCCACGUUAUACCUCACCAACUUUUGAAAUUCACAGCCUGUAUACCAUCGUCGUAAGUCUACUUCCUAAGAAAGUUGACUUAAAGAACCAACCUCCAGACGUCAGAUCAAGGUGCAGCCAACAAGUUGGGAAUAGGUGAGCUACAAUGUUAACUACAACCAGUGAAAGAAAACAUGAAAAAUGCUUCAGAAAUUGGAUUCAGCAGUAAGAAUCACUAGACAAUGAUUCUGAAGAGAGCUCUGGAAUGCGUACACAUCGCCCGUCACUCUCGCCUAACUUGCCAAUAAAGUAAGGGGAGAAAAGUCGUAACAUAGUAGGCCUACCGGAAGGUGGGCCUGGAUAAAUU
RNAcentral lists this non-coding RNA (901 nucleotides) under Araeosoma owstoni. The record is from RNAcentral. Lineage: Eukaryota; Metazoa; Echinodermata; Echinoidea; Echinothurioida; Echinothuriidae.